GUGCGCAGGCGGUCUGUUAAGACCGAUGUGAAAUCCCCGGGCUUAACCUGGGAACUGCAUUGGUGACUGGCAGGCUUUGAGUGUGGCAGAGGGAGGUAGAAUUCCACGUGUAGCAGUGAAAUGCGUAGAGAUGUGGAGGAAUACCGAUGGCGAAGGCAGCCUCCUGGGCCAACACUGACGCUCAUGCACGAAAGCGUGGGGAGCAAACAGGAUUAGAUACCCUGGUAGUUCACGCCCUAAACGAUGUCAACUAGUUGUUGGGGAUUCAUUUCCUUAGUAACGUAGCUAACGCGUGAAGUUGACCGCCUGGGGAGUACGGUCGCAAGAUUAAAACUCAAAGGAAUUGACGGGGACCCGCACAAGCGGUGGAUGAUGUGGAUUAAUUCGAUGCAACGCGAAAAACCUUACCUACCCUUGACAUGGUCGGAAUCCUGCUGAGAGGCGGGAGUGCUCGAAAGAGAACUUGAACACAGGUGCUGCAUGGCCGUCGUCAGCUCGUGUCGUGAGAUGUUGGGUUAAGUCCCGCAACGAGCGCAACCCUUGUCAUUAGUU
Molecule: ribosomal RNA, 552 nt
Filed under: uncultured bacterium
Lineage: Bacteria
Description: bacterial SSU rRNA
Rfam family: Bacterial small subunit ribosomal RNA
Source: RNAcentral